UGGUUCGGAAGCUGCAAAAUGGAAAUGUGUUGGAGCUAUUGACAAUUUGACAUCACUUAAUAUCUGUUCAAUUAUAUAUUUGCCUACCCCAGGGAUAUUGAAUGCAACAUUUGGUUCAAGCUUUUGAAAGAAUGGGCAUACAAGUGAUCCUUUUCUUGAUUCUCUAAAGCAUAUUGUUUGAUUUUUCAGAAAUUCUUUGGUGGUGGUGGCACUAUUGUAUGUGGACCGACUAUUGUGGCUUACUGGCUUGUGUUCCAGUUGCCACUGCUCAACAAGGAGAAGAAUGUAUGCAGAAGAUUCUUCCUGUUGGCAUGGGGCUUGAGAGAGAGGAAGAGAUACAUGUCGGCCUCUAUGCACAUUGCGCACAAGGGUUGCUGGUCAGUAUUAGUGUUUAUGCAAGUCCAUUCAUCUUAUCAUUCAAUUAGAUGUGUGUUUUGGAUAUCUUAGGAUUUUCAACAAAAAUAACUAUGAGAUACUCUGAGUAAUGAGACUUAAAUUCAAUCAUUGAUUUCCCUAUUUCAAAUUCAAUCAUUGAUUUCCCUAUUUUAACUGUAAAAUGUUUAUUUCUUUAGUUAUUAGAAAGUGGGUGAUGUUUAUUUCAUGCCUUAUUUACCGUGGUCUAUCCAUCUCUUUCUUUUGAGCUCGAGAAGUGAAAGGAACUAAAGAAGAUGAUGGUAAUCCUUGGGUCGAUCUGCUGUUUUGCUUUUGUAUUUGAGAACGGCUGAUAGAAUCUUAGGUACUUCAGACUAAUUGAUGCUUCAUUAGGAUAUAACUACUGAUUGGAUGCAUAAGAGAACCGCCGUACUCGGUACUACAUACUUUCUCCAGUUUGAAUAACUUAUCUUAACAAUACAAUAGCUGAAUGAUUUGCUUGUAUGUUUCUCUUUCAGGUUAGAGAGAAAGAUUUUGAUGUGAAUUUUUGGAUAAAAUCCCUGAUUUCUCUUACUUGGAUU
Triticum dicoccoides is the source of this 953-nucleotide long non-coding RNA. RefSeq lists it as uncharacterized. NCBI's taxonomy places the organism in Eukaryota, Viridiplantae, Streptophyta, Magnoliopsida, Poales, Poaceae. The transcript has 3 exons. The record is from RefSeq and is a predicted model, not a curated record.